Molecule: ribosomal RNA, 548 nt
Filed under: uncultured Bacteroidota bacterium
Lineage: Bacteria; Pseudomonadati; Bacteroidota
Description: bacterial SSU rRNA
Rfam family: Bacterial small subunit ribosomal RNA
Source: RNAcentral
UACGGGAGGCAGCAGUGAGGAAUAUUGGGCAAUGGAGGCAACUCUGACCCAGCCAUGCCGCGUGCAGGAAGACGGCCCUAUGGGUUGUAAACUGCUUUUGUACGGGAAGAAACACUCCCUCGUGAGGGAGCUUGACGGUACCGUAAGAAUAAGGAUCGGCUAACUCCGUGCCAGCAGCCGCGGUAAUACGGAGGAUCCAAGCGUUAUCCGGAAUCAUUGGGUUUAAAGGGUCCGUAGGCGGCCUUAUAAGUCAGUGGUGAAAUCUCCUAGCUCAACUAGGAAACUGCCAUUGAUACUGUAGGGCUUGAAUUUUUGUGAAGUAACUAGAAUAUGUAGUGUAGCGGUGAAAUGCUUAGAUAUUACAUGGAAUACCAAUUGCGAAGGCAGGUUACUAACAAACGAUUGACGCUGAUGGACGAAAGCGUGGGGAGCGAACAGGAUUAGAUACCCUGGUAGUCCACGCUGUAAACGAUGGAUACUAGCUGUUUGAAGCAAUUUGAGUGGCUAAGCGAAAGUGAUAAGUAUCCCACCUGGGGAGUACGCACGCA